CAAUAGCGUAUAUUAAAGUUGUUGCGGUAAAAAAGCUCGUAGUUGGAUUUCUGUUGAGAGCGACGGUCCGUACCAUGUAUGCGUAUCUGGCUUGCUCUCGGCAUCCUCUCGAUAGACGUUACUGCGCUUGAUUGCGUGGUGCGGAUCUCGGGACUUUUACUUUGAGGAAAUUAGAGUGUUCACGGCAGGCUUUCGCCAGAAUACAUUAGCAUGGAAUAAUACUAUAGGAUCUUGGUUCUAUUUUGUUGGUUUCUAGAAUUGAGAUAAUGAUUAAUAGGGACAAUUGGGGGCAUUCGUAUCAACACGUCAGAGGUGGAAUUCUUGGAUUGUGUUGCGACGAACUACUGCGAAAGCAUUUGCCAAGGAUGUUUUCAUUGA
RNAcentral lists this ribosomal RNA (378 nucleotides) under uncultured eukaryote. Its description in RNAcentral is "partial 18S ribosomal RNA". It matches the Rfam family "Eukaryotic small subunit ribosomal RNA", at positions 592 to 976 of the family's 1831-position model. The record is from RNAcentral.